Molecule: ribosomal RNA, 99 nt
Filed under: Diplasiolejeunea cavifolia
Lineage: Eukaryota; Viridiplantae; Streptophyta; Jungermanniopsida; Porellales; Lejeuneaceae
Also listed under: 3 other names
Description: partial 26S ribosomal RNA
Rfam family: Eukaryotic large subunit ribosomal RNA
Source: RNAcentral
CGGACCUCAGAUCAGGCAAGACCACCCGCUGAGUUUAAGCAUAUCACUAAGCGGAGGAAAAGAAACUAACAAGGAUUUCCGUAGUAACGGCGAGCGAAC